Long non-coding RNA from Patella vulgata (common limpet), 5571 nucleotides. RefSeq lists it as uncharacterized. NCBI's taxonomy places the organism in Eukaryota, Metazoa, Mollusca, Gastropoda, Patellidae. The transcript has 3 exons. The record is from RefSeq and is a predicted model, not a curated record.
AAUGGCUAUUCAGAUGAAAAGUUCUGCUAUGAUGGCUAUACGAACGAAAAAUUCUGCUUUAAACAAUAGUCUAACGAAAAUUCCUGCUCUGAUGAAUAAUUUUAAGAAAAAUCCUGCUGUUGUGUAUAAUCUAAAGAAAAACCCCUGCUGUUUCAAGUGUUUGGACCAUUUUUUGGACAAUCCUGCUAUGAGAUCCAAUUUGGACCAUUUUUGGAACAGUCCUGCUAUGAGAACCAAUUUGGACCAUUUUUGGGACUAUCCUGCUAUGAGAACCAAUCUAAAAACAAAUUCUGCUGUGAUGGCUAUUUGACGAAAUAUUCUGCUGUGAUGGCUAUUUGAUGAAAUAUUCUGCUGUGAUGGCUAUUUGACGAAAUAUUCUGCUGUAAUAGGUAAUCUAACGAAAUUCCUGAUGUGAUGGAUAAUGUAAAGAAAAUGAUGGGUAAUCUAAUGAAAAAUCUUGCACUGGUGAAAAUGGGAAAAUUGGAUAGAGCUAAAGGAUUAUUUUACAAGUCACUUCAGCUAUGCCCUUCAACCAAGGUACUAUAUACAGAUGCUGUGGGUUAUUUUGGUGAUUCUAUAUUACAAGAAAUAGUUGAUUUGAUGACAGAGAAGGAACUGCGAAUACAUUUACCACUAGAAGAGAUGGACAUUUUAAUGAUUUCUGAUCCAUCUUAAUUAGGUGUAAUACUUUAAAGAGAUAUUUUCACUUUGUUGGCCUAUUGAGACGCGAGAUAUUUUCGAAAUCUGUCAAUUUGUUUUUACCAGGUAAACUUUACCUGUAUAUGUUAUACAGAUCAAGUGAGUGAACUCAUUUUGAAUAUGGCAUCAAAUUCUAUGUCUGGGUAAUGAUAUAAUAUUUAUUGGCUUAAUAUUUUGUAUUGUCAAAUAUUACGAAAAAAUUAAACAUUAUCUUUUCAUGAUUGAAACAUGUAAUUGAGAGUGUCUCUAAAAAUGGCCAAUUCAAGCCUAUUGAUUUCAACGAUGUCCGAUAAUUACUGCUAGAGUUAUGGCCCUUGAUCACUUUGAAAAAUCUUGUGGAUGCUUUAGGGGGCAAAGUUAAUAUCCGAUUGCUAAAGUUAUACACAGUGUUUAAAGCUAAACUCCGGUUACAAAAAUACCGAAAUAAUUAAAUAAAAAAAAAGUUAACACCCCCAAGCCGCCAUACUUGUUUCCAAUUUGUGAAAUAAAUAUGGCAGACAUGGAGGCUUAUGACCUGGAAAGGUUAGCCGAUCUCACUUCCAGUUUGUUUCUUGUCAGCCACCUGUACCCAUCCGGCCUUAUUCUCUACACACGCUUCACUGAUUGCUCUAUGGUGGCUGAUUGGUAUCAUGUCGUGGUGUCGAGCUUCAUAAGGCGACAACCCGACAUCGCGACAUUAUAACCCGACACCACGACAACCCGACAUUUUUAACCCGAUACUACGACAUUUUCACCCGACACCACGACAUUAAGAAUGUUGUUGUGGUGUCGCGUAAAAAUGUCGGAUUGUCGCGUAAAAAUGUCGUGAUGUCGACUUUAUUUAUCAAUGUUGAAGCGGUCACGAGAUCAAGUCAGCCCUCACUAUCUCAUCCUUCACUAAGAAUACUUACCCUUUACUAACUGCGAAUCAAGCUGGCCCUCACUAUAUCAAAUUACAGGUCUUAAUACAAAAUUCCAGAUAUCAUGCUACAUAUCAGUAGAAAGCACGUUCACCGUUCUUUUCAGAUAUAUAAAUAAUUUUCUGGCACAUCUAUAUUUACUUGCCCUGAGAGGUGAUAAAGACGAAUGGUACAAAACUCUAUUAAAUGAUGGGGAUAGGGGUAUUCAAAGUAAAAAUACGGGUCUUAAUACGCAAUUCCAGAUAUUAUGUUAUAUAUCACUGAAAAGCACUUUCAUUUCUCUUUUCAAAGAUAUAAAUAAUUUUCUGUCACAUUUAUAUUUACUUACCUUGACAAACUAUCAAAGUUGGAUAAUACUGAUCUCUAUUAAGUAAUUACGCGGGGGGUGGAGGUAUUCAAUGUCUAAUUACGGGUUCUAAUACGAAAUUCUAGAUAUCAUGCUACAUAUCAGUAGAAAACACGUUCAAAUAUAUAAUUAAUUUUCUGGCACAUUUCUAUUUACUUGCCUUGAAAAAUGAAAAGGGGGGGGGGGGGUAUUUGAAAUAAAAAUGCUGGGCUUAAUCCAAAAUUCCAUAUAUCUAUACUGAAAAGUAAAGUUAAUCCUCUCUUGAAAUGUAUUUAUCAUAUUUUCGGCAGAAUGCAUAUAUACUUUUUAAAAUUUAAAUUGAUACAAGUUUGGUAGCCUUCACUGGCUGAAUUAAAGAGAGUGGUGGGGGUGGGCGAGUGUUUAAUGUCAAAAUAUGUGUUAUACGAAAUUCCAGUUAUUGUGUCAUACAUCACCGGAAAGUGGGUUUCUGUGGCUCUUUAAAUCUACUUGUAUUGUCUGGCACAUUCAUAAUUCCAUACUUUAGAAGAGAUAAAAGCAUUUUUAUUUUGAGCAAAGAAAUGGGUUACUAAAAAUAGACUACUUUCAAUUCAUUUUAUUUAUCGAAGGCUCGAAUUAGCCCAUACCGAGCAAAUGAUUACACUCAAGUCAUGGUCAUCCAGCGAAUGUGGUAGUGAGGGCCAGGUUGAUUCGCAGUUAGUGAAGGUUAAGUAUUCUUAGUGAAGGAUGAGAUAGUGAGGGCUGACUUGAUCUCGACAAGAGAGAGAGAGAAAUGGGGUUUAACAUCCACUCGACACAAACUAGGUCAUUUCGGGACUAACACACGGUUCAAUUUUAUUUCAAUAAUUCGCUUGUGCGUAGGGGUCUUUAGCAGUGGGAUGAAACCGGAGGACCCGGAGAAAAACCCCUGAGGUUGGACAGGCGACCCUACUCCUUGUCACGUACAACCAGGGAAUCGAAACCCCUCCAGUUGACUCAAUGACAGACUGUAUGAUACAGCGCGCGUGCUAACCAUUCGGCCAUCCAACCCCCCUGAUCUCGACAAAGGACAGCACUCUAUUAUUCAUGGCCGCUUCAACAUUGAUAAAUAAAGCCGACAUCACUACAUUUUUACGCGACAAUACAAUAUUUUUACGCGACAUUACAACAUUAUUAAUGUUGUGGUGUCGGGUGAAAAUGUCGUGUUGUCAGGUUAUGUUGUGAUGUCGCCUUAUGAAGGGCGACACCACGACAUCACGACAUGAUACCAAUCAGCCACCAUACACAAUUAUUAUCCAAUUUAAAAUACAGGUCUACCCCCCCCCCCCAAAAAAAAAAAAUCUCGGUUCCUUUCUAUUGGCAUGUAUCGGAACAUAACUUCAUGGAUUAUGACCCCUGAUUGUACGAAAAAUCACGUUUUUAACUUUUGGACACUCUAUAGAGGUCACAAUUUUCCGAUGCGCAAAUAUCGAAAGGAACCAAGAUCUUUGGGUUAUAAACUUACAUUUCAAGUUUCAUCAAAAUCAGAAGAAAAUUUUCACCUCUAGAGAGUCCACAACCUUGAUAUAUAUUUUUACGUCAUUUUGUCUGUCAGUUUUGGUCCGAUUUUCACGAAAUUCGAACUCUACCAUUCUUAGGGGGUAAAGGUGAUAUAUUCAAAGGUUUUUCUUUAAAUCGGAUAAUAAUUGUGACCUCUAGAGGUACCUCGAGCUAAAAACUCGAUUUUUCGUACAAUCAGGGGCCAUAAUUCAGGAAGUUACAAUCCGAUAUGAGCGAAUAUCGAAAGGAACUGAGAUCUUUGGGUUAUAAACUUAUAUUUCAAGUUUCAUCAAAAUCAGAAGAAAAUUGUGACCUCUAGAGAGUCGAAAACCUUGAUAUAUCAUAUUUUUACGCUAUUUGAGUAUGAGAGGCGACCAUUUUAUCUCACAGUUUUGGUCCGAUUUUUACAAAAUUCGAACUCAACCAUCCUUAGGGUGUAACGGUGAUCUAUUCAAACGUUUUUUUUAAAUCGCUUCAAAUUAUGACCCCUAUAGGGUCCACAAGCUAAAAAUGUGAUUUUUCGUACAAUCAGGGGCCAUAAUUCAGGAACUUGCAGUCCGAUAUGCGCGAAUAUUGAAAGGAACCGAGAUCUUUGGGUUUUAAACUUACAUUUCAAGUUUCAUUAAAAUCAGAAGAAAAUUGUGACCUCUAUAGGGUGUCCACAACCUCGAUAUACAAUAUUUUUACGCUAUUUGAGAAUGAGGGACGGCCAUUUUGCCUUAGGUAGUAACGGUGAAAUACUAAAACGUUUUUUUUUAAAUCGGAUAAAAAUUAUGACCUCUAUAGGGUCCACAUGCUAAAAACGCGAUUUUUUCGUACAAUCAGGGGCCAUAAUUUAGGAAGUUAAUUACGAUCCAAUAUAUGCAAAUAUCGAAAGGAACCAAGAUCUUGGGGUUAUAAACUUACAUUUCAAGUUUUAACAAAAUCGGAUAAAAAUUGUGACCUCUAUUGGGUGUCCACAACCUUGAUAUACCAUAUUUUUACGCUAUUGGAGAAUGAUGGAAGGCCCAAAAAAUUUUUUUCUUAUAAGAAUGGGCCAUAAUCCAUGAAGUUUCGGUGCGAUACAUGCCAAUAUCGAAAGCAACCAAGAUCUUUUGGAGAUAAACCUAUAUUUCCAGUUUCGUCAAAAUCGGAUAAGAAUUGUGACCUGUAGAGUGUCCACAAACAAUUGUGGACGGACAGGGGCGACGGCAAUAUACGUCCACAUGAAAAUGUGGGCGUAUAAAAAUCAUGUUUUUAGCUUGUCCCUGUGAAGGUCACAAUUUUUAUCUGAUUUAAAAAAAAAUCUGUAUGAUUAUAUCACACUAAGAUCUUGGUUCCUUUUGAUAAUCUCGCAUAACCGAAUGUAACUUCCUGGAUUAAUGCCCCUGAUUGUUCGUAUAUUUAGCUUGCAGAUUCUCCAGAGGUCACAAUUUUUUUUCAGAUUUUAAAAAACGUUUAAAUAUAUUGCCAUUCCACCAUAAUGAAGGUUGAAUUCGAAUUUCGGGAAAAUCGAAAUGAAACUGCCCGACAAAAGGCCCGCUCUUUGUACGCAAAUUGUGUAAAAGUAUGUAAUAUGAAGGUUAUGGACCCUCUAGAAGUAACAAUUUUUAUCUGAUUUUGAUGAAACUUAAAACAUAUCCCAAAGAUCAAAGUCCCUUUUGAUAUUUGUGCAUUUCAGACCAUAACUUUCUGGAUUAUUGCCUGUUUGUUUUUAGUUGUUCUCUAUCCAUCUCUUCCAAAAUGUAGGCGUAUCCUGCCUGGCAGCCGCUGGUUCAUUUAAAAAGUUGAUCAAUCCUAAUCUGUCUAAUUCUUCGAGAUUACAUACUAAGCUGAAAACAUUUUUUCUUUAAAAUUGAAAAUGCCUCAGGUGAUACACAUUUGAUAACACAUUUAAUAUGUUUGUUUGUAAUUAUAAUAGUUUAACAAAAAUAAAAAUGAUUGGGGUGCCCAAGUUUAGAUUUGUCAUUGAUUCCAUAAAGUAGUUAGGAUUUUAAACGUUAAAUACUGUGUAAUUCAACAUAACGAGAUCGUAAGAACAGAGAGUGAGAUAAUUUACAUCCCACUUCUACUCGUUGCCACUGGCAACCUUUGAUAAAACUGUCCUGUUUAUUUGCAAUACAUGCAUAAAAGUAUCCGUGUAUCAGAAAU